Molecule: ribosomal RNA, 279 nt
Filed under: uncultured bacterium
Lineage: Bacteria
Description: partial 16S ribosomal RNA
Rfam family: Bacterial small subunit ribosomal RNA
Source: RNAcentral
AGAGUUUGAUCCUGGCUCAGGACGAACGCUGGCGGCGUGCUUAACACAUGCAAGUCGAACAGAAAGGCCCUGCUUUUGUGGGGUGCUCGAGUGGCGAACGGGUGAGUAACACGUGAGUAACCUGCCCUUGACUUUGGGAUAACUUCAGGAAACUGGGGCUAAUACCGGAUAGGAGCUCCUGCUGCAUGGUGGGGGUUGGAAAGUUUCGGCGGUUGGGGAUGGACUCGCGGCUUACCAGCUUGUUGGUGGGGUAGUGGCUUACCAAGGCUUUGACGGGUA